CUACGGGAGGCACCAGUCGAGAAUCUUCCGCAAUGGACGAAAGUCUGACGGAGCGACGCCGCGUGCGGGAUGAAGGCCUUCGGGUUGUAAACCGCUGUCAGUGGGGAGGAAAUGCAUCAGGGUUCUCCCUGGUGUUUGACCGAUCCGCAGAGGAAGCGCAGGCUAAGUUCGUGCCAGCAGCCGCGGGUAACACGAACUGCGCGAACGUUAUUCGGAAUCACUGGGCUUAAAGAGUUCGUAGGCGGCCUUUCAAGUCGGGUGUGAAAUCCCUCGGCUCAACCGAGGAAUUGCGCCUGAUACUGUUGGGCUUGAGGGGGAUAGGGGUGAGCGGAACUGAUGGUGGAGCGGUGAAAUGCGUUGAUAUCAUCAGGAACACCGGUGGCGAAGGCGGCUCACUGGAUCUCUUCUGACGCUGAGGAACGAAAGCUAGGGGAGCGAACGGGAUUAGAUACCCUAGUAGUC
This 462-nucleotide ribosomal RNA is filed under the name uncultured bacterium. RNAcentral describes it as "partial 16S ribosomal RNA". It matches the Rfam family "Bacterial small subunit ribosomal RNA", at positions 339 to 795 of the family's 1533-position model. The record is from RNAcentral.